Molecule: ribosomal RNA, 386 nt
Filed under: uncultured bacterium
Lineage: Bacteria
Description: bacterial SSU rRNA
Rfam family: Bacterial small subunit ribosomal RNA
Source: RNAcentral
GACGAACGCUGGCGGCGUGCUUAACACAUGCAAGUCGAGCGGUAAGGCCCUUUCGGGGGUACACGAGCGGCGAACGGGUGAGUAACACGUGGGUGACCUGCCCUCAGCUCUGGGAUAAGCCUGGGAAACCGGGUCUAAUACUGGAUAUGACUCCAUGACGCAUGUUGUGGGGUGGAAAGCCUUGUGCGGCUGAGGAUGGGCCCGCGGCCUAUCAGCUUGUUGGUGGGGNGAUGGCCUACCAAGGCGACGACGGGUAGCCGGCCUGAGAGGGCGACCGGCCACACUGGGACUGAGACACGGCCCAGACUCCUACGGGAGGCAGCAGGUGGGGAAUCUUGCGCAAUGGGCGAAAGCCUGACGCAGCGACGCCGCGUGAGGGAUGACGG